CCUACGGGGGGCAGCAGUGAGGAAUAUUGGUCAAUGGACGCAAGUCUGAACCAGCCAAGUAGCGUGAAGGAUGACUGCCCUAUGGGUUGUAAACUUCUUUUAUGCGGGGAUAAAGUGAGUCACGUGUGGCUUUUUGCAUGUACCUCAUGAAUAAGGACCGGCUAAUUCCGUGCCAGCAGCCGCGGUAAUACGGAAGGUCCGGGCGUUAUCCGGAUUUAUUGGGUUUAAAGGGAGCGUAGGCGGGUUGUUAAGCGUGUUGUGAAAUGUUGCGGCUCAACCGUGGAAGUGCAGCGGGUACUGGAAGGCUUGAGUGCAGUUGAGGUAGGCGGAAUUCGUGGUGUAGCGGUGAAAUGCUUAGAUAUCACGAAGAACUCCGAUUGCGAAGGCAGCCUACCGUAGUGUUACUGACACUGAGGCUCGAAAGUGCGGGUAUCGAACAGGAUUAGAUACCCCAGUAGUC
RNAcentral lists this ribosomal RNA (460 nucleotides) under uncultured bacterium. RNAcentral's name for it is "partial 16S ribosomal RNA". It matches the Rfam family "Bacterial small subunit ribosomal RNA", at positions 338 to 795 of the family's 1533-position model. The record is from RNAcentral.